Phasianus colchicus (ring-necked pheasant) is the source of this 6958-nucleotide long non-coding RNA. RefSeq lists it as uncharacterized. NCBI's taxonomy places the organism in Eukaryota, Metazoa, Chordata, Aves, Galliformes, Phasianidae. The record is from RefSeq and is a predicted model, not a curated record.
UGAAUAAAAAUAAUUUCAGGCCCACCAAAACCGCACUUAAUUUCUAUUUGCAAUUACUAUGGGUUAAAGACAGGAAAACUUUAAUGUCAAGGAGAAUCAAGGCAAAUACAACAAGAAGUCAAGCAUUAAAUGUUUCUUAUGCCACAUUCCUGUUUAAAACAGGAAUUAAAUAGCGUAGAGGAAAUGCUAAUUCACGGCCCGAAGCAGUGAUUGAGCACCUGGCGGGAGGGCAGGGCCAACCCAGCACAGCUCAGGUGCACGCAAUACACCUGAGUGACGAGAAGGACUGGAGCCAGGAUCCACCCCUUCCCUCAUUUAAAGGUUGAAAGCGGAGGUGAAAGCAUCUUGCUGAGGAUCCCUGUGUACGUGUGGUAUUCUGAGGCAGAAACGGAUGCAAACAGAUCUCGAGAAGCUGCCUGCAAUAAAGGGACAUCGUCUGGAUGCUUUACAGCAGAAACUGCGUUAGCAGUCUCCUGUCCUCCCUCUUUUCUACAGACUAAAGGUUAGAGGAGACUAAGGUCAGCUGAAGAUCUUUUGUCAAAAUAUCUCUGCACGUGAAAGGAUGCGGCAGGGACUGCAGUUCUUCACAGCAUCGAAAGCGUUAUGUACACAGUACAGAUACAGAUGUCAUGAGCAUGUCAAAUAUUCACCUCAUUCAACAAACCAGUUGAAAGUUGUCCUUUACUUUUGUCCUUGACUGUGUGGAACUGCUUGCGAAUCUUCUGCCUUGUUAUAGCCUCGUCGUACCAAGUGCUUCUUACGGUGCUCAAAAUGGGAUGGCCUUUUCAAGCACGUGCUGUGCUUCUUUCUGAGGAGGAGAGUGUAACUGCAGUAAUGUCUCUGAAAUAAAUUUGGAGUCACUGCUUUUUGCAGCAUUCCUGCAAGCGUGGAGCAGUGCUGUGUGACCAUGUAUUCUGAGUAGCUGGAAAUCACUACCAGUUGGAACUACGUCACCAUUUUUUUUUAAAUGCUCAGCACUUCAAGAUAACCUUGGAAUGAGAAACGCUUCUAAGAUUCUCCAAGUUUCAAGUUCAGUGCCAUUGCUGAAGAGCAGCAAUGCUUAAGCUCCUGUUUUGCUACGGGCCUCUCUUGCUUCAGUUCUGAGAACUUCACAUACCGACUGCAAGUUUGAAAAGCAGCCGGACCCGAGUGAUGCUUUCUACAAUAUGUUCUAAGUCUCUUGUACCGUAACACCUCUGUCUGUGAAACCGCAAUUUAUUUUUUGUUUCUAACUCCUGAUGAAUUAUGUUUCUGGGAAUUGUCUACUCUUUAUACAGUGAAGGUUUUCUGUUUGUUUGGAGAAACAGCAAGCGCUGUGUUUUGCUUCGUUCUGGUUUUGUUCUCCUGGUAGUAUGAACAUUUUUCACUGUAAGUUUGUUUUAUUAACAUAAUGACUGAGAACACUUCUACUUGAAUAGUUCUGUAGAAGAAACUGCCUGUGGAAAUAGCAUGUGCUAUAAUGCUGUUAAAUACAGUAAAUACUAUGAUUAUAUUACAUGCUAAUUACACCAUUCCUUUUACGGUAUGGUUCCCCUAAGGCCUAUGGAAUCACGUAGUUCAGUCUGAAGGUUCCGAAUGAGUAGGCCAGCUCCUACAAUUGAUUUUCAUGGGAGACAUAUUGGGAAAGCAGUGGAGGGUAAAGAGGGUAAACAGCUGGCUAAUGCCUGCGAAAUGGGUUAUACGGUAUGUGUGACAGAGUUUUAAAAUAAAAAUUAAAAAAUAAAAAAAAAGCCCAAGGAGAGCAUUUUGUGGAAACGGCCCCUAGGAAUACUGAGGAGCCGGAGGUAGGAAGCGUUUCCAGUUUUCAAAAUGUUUUGUCCUAUUUCUGACGAAUUCUUUCCUCAGGAACAGAGGUGGAGUGAUUGGAAAGGUGUUUGGCCGUAGCUUGCCUGCUAUUAUGUAAAGCAAGUGGUAUUUUUCUACUUGGAUGUUCUUUGAAGCGAUUCCUUUAAGGUUAUGUACUGAAGUUAUCGUGUAUUAUUGUAGUUAUUGUAAUUGCAGCAAACUGUGAGUUUGUAAUGCUUAGAAAACUAAGUAAAAUCAGCUCUCGGACAUCACUAGUGUUGUUUCUACGCAUAUGUAACGGUACUAAGCUGCUGCAACUUAUGUGACUGGAGUGAAAUAAUGCCUACUUUGCAGCGUUUGGUGCACAGGCCUUAAUCCGACUGCGUUUCUAAACCUAAUCCUCAAGUUAGGAACAAGCGUGUAUUGGCUUCUCUAUCUUUGUGAGCAACAAAUUUGUUUCUCGUGUAACUGUUAUUGCUAAACAAGUAACUGUUGAAAAUAUACAAGUGGAUUGCUGCUUGUGACAUACUAGCAAGAAGCACUGAUCCGUAACAGUAACUCGGUUACUAAAAUACUGGCAAGAAUGCCAAUGGCUGCGGUAUCCUAAGCAGUGUAAACUAGCAAGAGGAUAGGGAUUUUGAGGAAAAUAAAUGUUUGCAUCCUGCUGAGCGUGGUGGUCAAAUAAUGCUUCUAAGACGCUGGACACGCUUCUACUUGGCAUAAUCACAAUAGAGAAAACCAUUGCUUCACUACUUGUGCAUACGGUAGUUUUGCGUUACGCUUUCAAUUAGUUCAGUUUUAAGAAUAUAUUAAAUUUACUAGCAGAUUCGGUUUAAAAGAAAAAAGGGAACUUCAAGGCAUGCUUUCAGAGGUUCACGUUCUGAAAACCUGGGGCAAUUUCCUUUUUCCCGAUCUUCUGUAUGUGACUCUUGCACGAGGGGUAGCGGAUUGAGAUUCCCUGAACUUAGCGCCAGAGUCAACUGAAAGCAAACCUUGGACACAAAGAAAAGCAUAAAAUGGAAUAGUUAUUCAAAGCGGAAGAUUCUAAUCUGUCAGUGACGUUGAGUCAAACUCAUCUCAUUGACCAGCUGAAACCUACAGGAUUUCAGCGUAAGACAAGUAUCGGUGCUACCGGAGAACGACCUGGGAAGGCUGCGUUAUAAACAGACGUUCGUUCUGACUUACGUAAAUCCAUUGGGCGGUAUUGUAAAAUCGUGCAGCUGUUUUGAACGUACUAAAUGUAAAAUCGCGAGCUCAAAAUUAAACUAAUAGCUUACGUGCUACGAAAGGACGAUGGGUCUGUUAUUUAUCUACAUUUCUAAAUGUUACCACUCGCUUGGCUAUUCAAAACUUGAUUAAAUUGUUACGAGCGCCCACCCUCGUUAGUAAAAUGUUGGAGAAAACAGAUAAUAGUUCUCCAGGGUGCUACGUAUUCUUGAGGAUGGAUUUGAAAACAUACGCCAGAAGUUAAGGAGAGGAAUAAAUGGUAACUUCUUUGGUUGAACUGCCCGUGCAUCUCGUUUACCUGAGCGACUAAAAAAAAAGAAACAAUAAAAAGACAAAUUUGUUGACGCGUUUGAAAGACUGAACUUCCACUGUCUUUCCUAUUUGAAGCAUUUUUAUACUAAGGAAACCGCGUCUCACAGAGAUGAGUGUGGGAAAUGGCGCGUGCGCUACGGUAAUUGUUCUGUGUUGGACUUGCUAGGGACGAUCUGGUCAGCUUAGUAAUGCAGAAGGCUGCACGGGCACGCGGUCGAAGAGAAUAAAGGGAUUCUUGAGCUUCCGCGAGAGCCAGAAAAAUUGCAUCUUAUGGAUUCCGGACCGUGUACUUACAGAGUAAACGCAAAACUGUUUUGAGGCACUAAACCGGUGCACGACAGUCCCGAGCAGUGGAGUUCCUUGUCUUUUUCCAUUCCCUUUUGUUUCCUGAUAAACGUACGUCAGUGACUCUCGGAGCGUCACAAAAGCAUUGUGCUGAGAGAGUAUAAAAGAAAAAUUAUACCUCACAAGCUAAAUGUGGUUUUAGAUGUAGUUGUCUGUCUAGACCUAACAACGAGAACAGAGAAUACUGCUACUGAAGCUUCACUCCUCGUUUCUAGCAAGCGCAGCCUCAUUUCUCUCAAAGCAGAAAAGAGCAAAGGGCAGAAAAGAAGACCGUCUAACUUUUUGCCCAUUGAGAUUAUGUGGAGGCGGAACAGUUCUUCGCAGAUACAAUGUAACAUCACAUCCAUAAUUAGGAAAAGCGAUCGGGUUUUGACAACUGCUGCAUAAAAAUUGGCUUCCAUAUGUCAACGUGUACAGCUUAACCUCGCAAAUCCUUCCCAUACUUCAACCUACCGUCAGUUUUCGGAACGUCACGGCUCUGAAAUCCUUUGUGCGGUUUUCCCGCGGCGUUUCAAUAGGGAAUAUUAAUUUGGCAGUGAGGAGAAUCCGGGUCUUCCGCUUGCGUGACCGCCGAAGUACGAGGCGGCUUCGACCGGGGGAACUGCAUGACAGUGACACGUCCUCGUUGAAGAACGCCCACUGGAACAAACGUUUCAUGGCUAGAUUGUCAAUGCUAGAAAAGUGUAGUCCGGUCUUAUGCUUUUUUGUUUGUUUGUUUCACACCAAAAUUAAAAAAUCAAUGUUUAAGUUCUUAAAAUAAGAGUAUGAUGAUGAAAAUCCAGAGAGACAGUUGCGAAGCAUCGGAACAAAAAAUGAGAAAGCACGCCUCAGAUUUAUUCCUUUAGAUUUCAGUCUUUCCGGUACGCCAGGCUAUGUCGAGAAAGGUGAUUAAAGCCCAUCUGAUACGCGCGCCUAUCGCUGCAUAUUCUCUUAUUCAAAACUCCAGUCCCCAUCCCAUAAAUGUCCCCCAUAGAAACAACCAAAACUAUCGAGGUACAUCACGCGUCGAAUUUCAAGGGGAGACGAAGGGGGGAGUCGAGAAGCUCUAUUCAAAACAGCGCGGUGUCUGAUGCACGCACUCAGAUGUGAACGAUCCAAAUCAUUGAUUACAAGUUCUCCUUCUCAAGUUUUCUUUUUCUAGUUUUCCCAGCCGCCCCUACAACUUUCCCAUUCGCCUUUACAUGGCAACAGAGCUUCUACAAACACUCCUUAACCGUUCAUGCGGGCGCGUACCCAAUCGGAGCCGUGAGACGUCGUUCUUCCUCUAGAGGCCUCCUUGGUUCUCACGCUAUCUAAAUUGCUCCACAGCUGCUGCUCUGAACAGCAUUCAAAACGUAAUUUUUUCUCGUCUUCCCACAAAACGCCAUAUUUAUAUCGGGUUCAUUUUCAUCUCUAUUUUCCCUCCGAACCGGUCGGAGUUUCACAUAAACGAAAUAUUUUCCGGAGUCAUCUUUGUCAUCUGUUCAUCUGUGCUUUAUGUUUCACGUGCGUAUGCGUUGUUUUUUUUUCACAAACGCCACGCUUUUGGUAAUUGUCUAAAACUUUGUAAUGUCAUUACAUUAUCCCACGUUUUGUAGGGCCAUUUAAUUUCAAGAAAUAAAUGAAACGACUUUGCUAUAUCCUUCAUUGAAGCGCAUCCGUUACUAUAGAAACAGCUGUAUAUCAUUUGAUUGAAUUACAUGUAAAUUAUACAUUUACAAGCCAAGGAGUUGUACGCGCUAGUAACCGAUCGGCGUAGUUUACAACUACGUUAACCGGAUAGCUUCUUCUCCCGGAGAACGUCGCAACGUAUCGCGUACCCAGGGCAGGAUCUCUCGCCUCACUCCACAUGCUCGGAUCCCCUUUUUUCCCAUGUGAGGCCACCGAAGGCAGUGAAAAUAUAUCCAUAACCGCACGCGAUAAAAACAUUCACAGUUCUACAAUCAUAAGAAAUGGAAAUGAAUGCCGUCCAACAGUCAGGAUUUUAAAUCAAGAACGAAACUGCUAUGUGAAGUGAAUUUCAUCACUGAAGUCUUUACGGAGUGCCCGUGUCCUUAACUGGAGAUAACUGAAAUGUCUCCGAAAGCGCUCCUACACGUUUAAUACGCGAACGUAAUCCCGAGCAACACCGCGCAGAACCGUUUGGAAAGCUUCGCUACGAAUUUCACCGGUCGUCGGUUUUCUCACGCGCAUCAUUAAGCCGCGUGGGCGUUCGUCACAUGGCUGCUUCCAUAUUUCCACUGCCGCCUUCAGUUACAUUUUCUCUGUCAGGUACAAAGUUUUUACACGCGUAACUUUUUUUUUUUUUUUUUUUUUUGUUUUCUUUUCUUUGGACGAGGGCCAAGGGAAAGCCGCGCGGAGAUAGAAAGUGCGCGGCGGGGGCCUCGGAAAACGAUUAAGGCUAGAGACGUUCUUUGGAAGGGUGUCGCAUGAGACACGAAGCGAUCCGUUUGAGUCGGGCACAAAUAUUAAUGAAUCCCUCAAAGAGUUGCGAAGGGGAAGCGUGUAACAAACCGUACUGAAGUGCAAUUUCAGUCCCUAAUUCAGAUCUAGCGUCCACGUCUAACCAGCAGGGUCCCCGGCCCGUCCGAACGAGCCCCGGCCGCGCUAACGAGUCAACGACUUUCAGGUGCGUCGGCGCCGCGGCCGGCCGGGCACAGGUGCGCCUCGUCGGCAUCCCGGGGCGGGGCCGCCCCGGGAUGCCUUUUAAGCUCCGCCGGAGGCCGCAGAGAGCUACGAGAGAGCUGCCGGAACUUGCCGCUUGCUGGUGCCGGAGCGGGUUGUACGCCUUCGUCCGGUACUUGCGCCUCUGGGGUCGAGUAGCGGUACGAGGGGGGCUUUUAACGCGACGCCUCGGGAUUCUACGUAAUGUUCUCUGUUGCGUUGUUUCGUUUCAGGCGGUAGCGAGGUCUCUCGCGGUGAGGAUCAGUCCGAACCGGUGAGCCGUUCCGGUAGCAACGGGACCGCGGAGGCGGGGAACCCUCCGGAGCCGUUCGGGACCGUCCGCCCGCAGCAAGUGGCCGCCGGGUUCUUGCCGCGCUCCGUUCGGGGCCGACGGGGGGCCCCCUCCGGGCUCGCCCGGCUUCUCUUCGUCGCCGCUCGGUUCCCCGAGUCCUAGUGCAGCCACGGAAUGUUCUCAGCUCCUCUCGGGCUUUUUAGAAGGUGGUUUAGUUUCCCCCGCUCUCGUCGGCGAGAGCGAGCGGGACGGGGCCGCAUUCCUGCCGCUUCGGCGGUGCUGGGAGUAAGAAGCACCGCCAAGGGCUGCUGAAAUAGGAGCUUUCUUCUAUUGCAGGCUGAGCGAAGGCUACAG